AGAGUUUGAUCCUGGCUCAGGAUGAACGCUAGCUACAGGCUUAACACAUGCAAGUCGCGGGGCAGCAUGAAUUUAGCUUGCUAAAUUUGAUGGCGACCGGCGCACGGGUGAGUAACGCGUAUCCAACCUUCCCCUGUCCACGGGAUAGCCCGUCGAAAGGCGGAUUAAUACCGUAUGAGGUCACAUGACGGCAUCAGAGUGUGACGAAAGGUUUGGCGGACAGGGAUGGGGAUGCGUCCGAUUAGCUUGUUGGCGGGGUAACGGCCCACCAAGGCAACGAUCGGUAGGGGUUCUGAGAGGAAGGUCCCCCACAUUGGAACUGAGACACGGUCCAAACUCCUACGGGAGGCAGCAGUGAGGAAUAUUGGUCAAUGGGCGAGAGCCUGAACCAGCCAAGUAGCGUGCAGGAUGACGGCCCUAUGGGUUGUAAACUGCUUUUAUGCGGGGAUAACGUGCACCACGUGUGGUGUAUUGCAGGUACCGCAUGAAUAAGGACCGGCUAAUUCCGUGCCAGCAGCCGCGGUAAUACGGAAGGUCCGGGCGUUAUCCGGAUUUAUUGGGUUUAAAGGGAGCGUAGGCCGCUGUUUAAGCGUGUUGUGAAAAACCGGGGCUCAACUCCGGUCGUGCAGCGCGAACUGGACGGCUUGAGUGCGCGGUAAGUGGGCGGAAUUUGUGGUGUAGCGGUGAAAUGCUUAGAUAUCACGAAGAACUCCGAUUGCGAAGGCAGCUCACUGUAGCGCAACUGACGCUGAAGCUCGAAAGUGCGGGUAUCGAACAGGAUUAGAUACCCUGGUAGUCCGCACGGUAAACGAUGGAUGCCCGCUGUUCCGACUAUUAGUUGGAGUGGCCAAGCGA
This 855-nucleotide ribosomal RNA is filed under the name uncultured bacterium. RNAcentral's name for it is "bacterial SSU rRNA". It matches the Rfam family "Bacterial small subunit ribosomal RNA", at positions 8 to 854 of the family's 1533-position model. The record is from RNAcentral.